GAUGAACGCUGGCGGCGUGCCUAAUACAUGCAAGUCGAGCGAACGGACGAGAAGCUUGCUUCUCUGAUGUUAGCGGCGGAAGGGUGAGUAACACGUGGAUAACCUACCUAUAAGACUGGGAUAACUUCGGGAAACCGGAGCUAAUACCGGAUGAUAUUUUGAACCGCAUGGUUCAAAAGUGAAAGACGGUCUUGCUGUCACUUAUAGAUGGAUCCGCGCUGCAUUAGCUAGUUGGUAAGGUAACGGCUUACCAAGGCAACGAUGCAUAGCCGACCUGAGAGGGUGAUCGGCCACACUGGAACUGAGACACGGUCCAGACUCCUACGGGAGGCAGCAGUAGGGAAUCUUCCACAAUGGGCGAAAGCCUGACGGAGCAACGCCGCGUGAGUGAUGAAGGUCUUCGGAUCGUAAAACUCUGUUAUUAGGGAAGAACAUAUGUGUAAGUAACUGUGCACAUCUUGACGGUACCUAAUCAGAAAGCCACGGCUAACUACGUG
Molecule: ribosomal RNA, 497 nt
Filed under: uncultured bacterium
Lineage: Bacteria
Description: partial 16S ribosomal RNA
Rfam family: Bacterial small subunit ribosomal RNA
Source: RNAcentral